AACCGACACAGGUGGUCAGGUAGAGAAUACCAAGGCGCUUGAGAGAACUCGGGUGAAGGAACUAGGCAAAAUGGUGCCGUAACUUCGGGAGAAGGCACGCUGACACGUAGGUGAAGUGAUUUACUCACGGAGCUGAAGUCAGUCGAAGAUACCAGCUGGCUGCAACUGUUUAUUAAAAACACAGCACUGUGCAAACACGAAAGUGGACGUAUACGGUGUGACGCCUGCCCGGU
RNAcentral lists this ribosomal RNA (233 nucleotides) under Salmonella enterica subsp. enterica serovar Oranienburg. RNAcentral's name for it is "partial 23S ribosomal RNA". It matches the Rfam family "Bacterial large subunit ribosomal RNA", at positions 1652 to 1867 of the family's 2925-position model. The record is from RNAcentral. Lineage: Bacteria; Pseudomonadati; Pseudomonadota; Gammaproteobacteria; Enterobacterales; Enterobacteriaceae. RNAcentral also lists the same sequence under 9 other names.